Molecule: non-coding RNA, 1887 nt
Organism: Plutella xylostella (diamondback moth)
Lineage: Eukaryota; Metazoa; Arthropoda; Insecta; Lepidoptera; Plutellidae
Source: RefSeq, a predicted model, not a curated record
UACCUUAGUAAGUAGGUAUAGGUAUGAUAAGAUUAAUGUUGAUUAUGUAGAUAAUAAAUAGUACUGACCAAAAUAAUUGUACAGUUUAGAUAUUAAGGUUAAUAUUGGGUAAAUGCCUUUUUAUUACCGUAAAGAUGCUUUAUUUUUGUAGAUAUUUUAAUGAUAUGUAAGUGGAUGUUGGUAGAAAUAGCAAGGAAAGGCCUGGAUUAUGGAAUUGGAAUGAACUCACGGUAAUCUCUGGUUGUUGUAGUUGCUUAGUUUGGUGAUAUCAUGGCUUGUGUACAUAAUUUCUUUGAUGAUGGCUUUCCUUUGCCUGAGGUGGUUGAAAACACUGUGUGACUCUGACGUGGAUGGGCUCGAUGCGGAGAUUGUAUGAUUCCCGUAGCUUGCCACUUAUGCCCACGCAGGAUUGAAUGCCUUUUGGUUGAUAUUACUGUGACACUGACGUGGAUGGGCGCGGUGCGGAGGUUGUAGGAUUCCCGUAACUUUGCCACUUAAGCCCACGCAGGAUUUAAUGCUUGAAAUAAAUGCAGAUUGUAGGUGCUGCUUUGAGUUGAUGAUUGAUGCAGAUUAUAGGUGCUGCUGUAGAAUGCAGAUUAUAGGUGCUGCUGUAGAAUUCCUCUCCUUUGGUGGAUUUGUUUGACCGCAAGGUAACCUCCGUUGCCGGCGUAGGCGCAAGUUGAAUCCGGUUCGACAGGAACAAUGUUACGGCGGCUAUAUUGGUCGGGAUCCUUUGGUCAGGUUCAAUAAAAACAGCUUAGUCUUCACUUAUGUGCGUGUAUUGACUUUAAUUGAUGAUUAAAAUAGAUUAUUUUUGCGUGAAGCGCUGUUCGAGGUAAAAAGUUAAAGAAGAAUAUGGCGGCUGCCAGAGACAAUUGAAAACACAGACGAUGACGUUUGGUUUCUGCUAUCGCCGAUCUCGCAUGCUCAGAAUACUCCGUACGUUGCGUUUCGUUUCUUCAUCAAGGUACAGUAAGGGGCAGAGAAACCUGACCCCCGUCAGCUAGUCUAUUUUCUAUCUCGGGUGUCAUGGAUUCGCGAUUUCCAACCGUAUAAAUCUAUUAUGGAUUUCUAACCGUCUUUUGGCAUCGGCUAUCUCGGUCAUGAUCACUAAACGAAUAGUGGGUAUGAGAUUUAUCGAUACACUAGAGGUUGCAAAAAGUUUGUGAAAAUAUUCUGUGAUUUGGUUAGCCGACUAAAUGAAAAAGUCAUUUCACUUCAAACUACGACUACUGCAUUUAUCAAAUCUUUAAUUUGCCGCAUUAUUUAGAAAAAUGGCGAUACUGGAAGCUAUUGUCAAAUGAUUGUCAAAACAAACUGCAAGGAACCAUCCAAAACAGAGAUUGAUUUUGGUGUGUGUUUUUUUAUAAUUACCUGACUCCUGUGUUUUAAUUGUUCAUUAUAUCUAAGGAUGGCGCCUUUAAGAAAAGUCUCAGAUCGACAAAUGGACAUUUUGUUGGAGUUCGUUGAAAGACAUAAAGAGCUUGCUGUUGGCCGGUACCCACACCCGGCCCACUAGGCAUACAAUCAGCACGUCGGCUAUAGGACAGUGCAGCAUUACAAUUAUAUGAAUUAUAUUCAAUUGGGUCUGGAGUUACAAAAACUGGUCAAAAAUUCUGACGGGCAUUCACAUGUAAAGUGGCAAUGUGCAAUGCAGUGCAGAAAAAAUAUUUUAAUAAUGAUUAUAGUAAGACUAGUAGAAGCAAAAUGUGAUAUGUAGUUAUGUGAUUUAAAAUAAAAAUAAAAGCCAUUAAUAUAAAAUGUGUUUUUUAUUACUAAAUUAUACAUAUACAGCAAAAAUCAGCCUAUCAGAGUCAGGUUAUUUUAGUUCCUUCAAAUUCACAGCCUGGACAAGGUUGGCCCUCAUGCGCCCUGCAUCUGCAUCAG